This is a non-coding RNA of Oncorhynchus mykiss (rainbow trout), 7871 nucleotides long. The record is from RefSeq and is a predicted model, not a curated record. NCBI's taxonomy places the organism in Eukaryota, Metazoa, Chordata, Actinopteri, Salmoniformes, Salmonidae.
GCUGUUGGUCAGAGUUAGUCACUGCAAGUGCAUACAAGUUUCUCUUGACAAAGUGUAGAGUUAAUGUUGCAAAAGGUUAGUCUUGUGAGAGAAACAAAAUAACAGGGCAUGUACCGACAAGAUAAGAGGGCGGGCAGAGAAUGCUACCUGCAAAAUAUCGACGUUCUGAUUGGCAGAUAACAACGUCAAUCAUUUUGAAGUCCUGUUCGCAGCCAGGAAAGCACUUAGCACAAGUUUUGGUACUCAGCCUAGUGAGCCUUCUACCUGGCCAAGGUCUUGUCCGCGGUCCCUAGCCUACAAAAAACAACGCUGGUGACCGGAGAGGUCGUAACUGUAACUGAUCGAUGAUGGCCUCGCAGAAAGGGACGUUUGCUGGCGUUUUACUUUGUCUCGUCGUGUCCAUGACUGUAGCUUUAGAGGUGUCCAUCCCUCAGCAGUCCUAUGAGUUCGCCAGGGGAGACAACAUCACUAUACCAUGCAGCUUCAAACCCAAGAACCCAAUCAACAAUCUGGUCGUCAUAUCCUGGUUGGCUGAAGCAGACAAACCCGGAGAGCCAGAGGUGUCCGUCCUUACCUCCUACUCUACUGGUGACCUGGACAUCAGUGACAGGUAUGAAGGAAGAGCUUCCCUGGAGCAGGACAUAGCUAAAGGAGUAGCCAACCUGAAGCUCUCCUCCAUCGGUCUCCAGGACAACCGACUAUUCGAGUGUCGGGUCGCCAUCCCCAAGGAUGACAAGGGUCAGCUGGCUGACACCACCCGUCUGGUGGUCCUGGUGGCUCCCUCUGUGCCUGUCUGUAAGGUCGAUGGGAAGGCAGAGUACUUCCAGAACAUCAGUCUCACCUGUCAGUCUGAAGAGGGCUCUCCUCUUCCUACCUACAAGUGGCAGGGCUACGACGUCAGAAACAUGCCCCGAGCACCUGCACCCAGGACAACAGACAAGGAUGGUGUCCUGUCUCUCUUCAACCUCACCAUGGAAUCCUCAGGAUACUACGUCUGUACCUCCACUAAUAAGAUCCGCAGUGCCAAAUGCAACCUGACGCUGUCCGUCAUGCCACCGUCUAUGGCCCUGGGUUCAACAGCGGGUAUCAUUGGCGGCGUUGUGGUUGGUGUUCUGGUGCUGCUCAUCAUCCUCAUCUACUGCUGCUGCUGCAGGAAGAAGAAGGACAAAGCAGAGGAGUACGCUAUGGGGGUUCCAGAGGGGGAGGAGUUCCACGACGACAAACCCGUGGUGAACGGCGAGGUUCGCCAGACGCGCAGCAAGGAAGGCGACGAUGAAGACCACCCACCCAAGAUCGUGGACCGCCGCGACCAGUACAAGGAACGCAGCGAGAAGGACUACGAUGACCGCCGCAGCGACUACGAUGACCGCCUACCCAAGAUCGUGGACCGUCGCGACCAGUACAAGGAACGCAGUGAGAAGGACUACGAUGACCGCCGCAGCGACUACGAUGACCGCCGCAGCGACUACGAUGACCGCCGCAGCGACUACGAUGACCGCCGCGAGCGCCACGAUGACCGCAGGGACCAGGACGACCGCUACUCUGACCGCCGUGACCGGUACGACCGCGAUCGUGUUUACGAUGAACGCAGUGACGGCGGACGGUACAGUGAUCGUUAUGAUGAGCCCUACGAUGAUCGGGACAGACCUCCCAGUGUACCGGCCAAUAAACCUACUAAGCCUUUGUUACUGUAAUUUAAUUAUGCCAUUAUUUUUUUCCCAUCGUAUGAACUCAUAUUGUUAAUCAGAUAUAAUAAAACAGAGUAUAAGUUUACUUAGUUACAGUUCCAUUUAAAAUCAUUUGUUCAGUCAUUUAAUCAUAAUUUUACCAACAGCCUUCUAAAAAUAGAAUAGAUUAGAGCCACUUAAUGUUUCCCACAACUUGUUUUUGGUUGAAAAUAUAAUGAAUAUUAUAAACAUAGUAGCUGCUGUAGGUCAGACUUCACAAAGGGCCUAGCUGUCAGGCUGAACUCGGUCACAUCAAUAACAGGACGACAGUAACACAACGAAGUAAAGCCUGUAGGUCAGACUUCACAAAGGGCCUAGCUGUCAGGCUGAACUCGGUCACAUCAAUAACAGGACGACAGUAACACAACGAAGUAAAGCCUGUAGGUCAGACUUCACAAAGGGCCUAGCUGCCAGGCUGAACUCGGUCACAUCAAUAACAGGACGACAGUAACACAACGAAGUAAAGCCUGUAGGUCAGGGAUCACAAAGGGCCUAGCUGCUAGGCUGAACUCGGUCACAUCAAUAACAGGACGACAGUAACACAACGAAGUAAAGCCUGUAGGUCAGGGAUCACAAAGGGCCUAGCUGCCAGGCUGAACUCGGUCACAUCAAUAACAGGACGACAGUAACACAACGAAGUAAAGCCUGUAGGUCAGGGAUCACAAAGGGCCUAGCUGCCAGGCUGAACUCGGUCACAUCAAUAACAGGACGACAGUAACACAACGAAGUAAAGCCUGUAGGUCAGACUUCACAAAGGGCCUAGCUGCCAGGCUGAACUCGGUCACAUCAAUAACAGGACGACAGUAACACAACGAAGUAAAGCCUGUAGGUCAGGGAUCAUCAAAGGGCCUAGCUGCCAGGCUGAACUCGGUCACAUCAAUAACAGGACGACAGUAACACAACGAAGUAAAGCCUGUAGGUCAGGGAUCAUCAAAGGGCCUAGCUGCCAGGCUGAACUCGGUCACAUCAAUAACAGGACGACAGUAACACAACGAAGUAAAGCCUGUAGGUCAGACUUCACAAAGGGCCUAGCUGCCAGGCUGAACUCGGUCACAUCAAUAACAGGACGACAGUAACACAACGAAGUAAAGCCUGUAGGUCAGACUUCACAAAGGGCCUAGCUGCCAGGCUGAACUCGGUCACAUCAAUAACAGGACGACAGUAACACAACGAAGUAAAGCCUGUAGGUCAGACUUCACAAAGGGCCUAGCUACCAGGCUGAACUCGGUCACAUCAAUAACAGGACGACAGUAACACAACGAAGUAAAGCCUGUAGGUCAGACUUCACAAAGGGCCUAGCUGCCAGGCUGAACUCGGUCACAUCAAUAACAGGACGACAGUAACACAACGAAGUAAAGCCUGUAGGUCAGACUUCACAAAGGGCCUAGCUGCCAGGCUGAACUCGGUCACAUCAAUAACAGGACGACAGUAACACAACGAAGUAAAGCCUGUAGGUCAGGCUUCACAAAGGGCCUAGCUGCCAGGCUGAACUCGGUCACAUCAAUAACAGGACGACAGUAACACAACGAAGUAAAGCCUGUAGGUCAGACUUCACAAAGGGCCUAGCUGCCAGGCUGAACUCGGUCACAUCAAUAACAGGACGACAGUAACACAACGAAGUAAAGCCUGUAGGUCAGGGAUCACAAAGGGCCUAGCUGCCAGGCUGAACUCGGUCACAUCAAUAACAGGACGACAGUAACACAACGAAGUAAAGCCUGUAGGUCAGGGAUCACAAAGGGCCUAGCUGCCAGGCUGAACUCGGUCACAUCAAUAACAGGACGACAGUAACACAACGAAGUAAAGCCUGUAGGUCAGACUUCACAAAGGGCCUAGUUGCCAGGCUGAACUCGGUCACAUCAAUAACAGGACGACAGUAACACAACGAAGUAAAGCCUGUAGGUCAGGGAUCACAAAGGGCCUAGCUACCAGGCUGAACUCGGUCACAUCAAUAACAGGACGACAGUAACACAACGAAGUACAGCCUGUAGGUCAGACUUCACAAAGGGCCUAGCUGCCAGGCUGAACUCGGUCACAUCAAUAACAGGACGACAGUAACACAACGAAGUAAAGCCUGUAGAUCAGGGAUCAUCAAAUAGAUUCAGCCACCGGAUGGUGUUUUUCCUUCAGCAGAAGUUCAGGGGGCCGGAACAUAAUUAUAAAUCAUUUGUAGACGGCAAAUUGACUGCAAGAAACCCAAACGGAUGUAAUAUUUGACAAAUAUAUAAUAAUUUAGAACCUUGCUUACAUUUGUAAACCCUCGCAUAUAUAUCGCUCUUAUGUGUGGGAAUACUUGAACUAAAUGAAAAUCACUUGGAGCUGAUUUCCUGGUGUUUGUACAGUCUUUUAUGUUCAACAAUAGCAAUUCUACAAAAAGUAAAAUAAAAUAAAAAAAAUGAUAUAUAAUUUUCUUUAUUUUUUAUGUUUUUAUAUAUAUAUAAUUAUAUAAUUUUGGGGUUGAGAAAAGUUGGGGGGGCCAAAUAAAAGGGUCUGUCAGUUGGGGAACCCUGCUAGACACCAUGCCGACUAGAGGUGGAGCGUAUCACUGUUAUCUAUGUAAAGGCCUUUAAUGUGGAGUAUCACUGUUAUCUAUGUAAAGGUCUUCAAUGUGGAGUAUCACUGUUAUCUAUGUAAAGGCCUUCAAUGUGGAGUAUCACUGUUAUCUAUGUAAAGGCCUUCAAUGUGGAGUAUCACUGUUAUCUAUGUAAAGGCCUUCAAUGUGGAGUAUCACUGUUAUCUAUGUAAAGGUCUUCAAUGUGGAGUAUCACUGUUAUCUAUGUAAAGGCCUUCAAUGUGGAGUAUCACUGUUAUCUAUGUAAAGGUCUUCAAUGUGGAGUAUCACUUAUCUAUGUAAAGGUCUUCAAUGUGGAGUAUCACUGUUAUCUAUGUAAAGGUCUUCAAUGUGGAGUAUCACUGUUAUCUAUGUAAAGGUCUUCAAUGUAGAGUAUCACUGUUAUCUAUGUAAAGGCCUUCAAUGUGGAGUAUCACUGUUAUCUAUGUAAAGGCCUUCAAUGUGGAGUAUCACUGUUAUCUAUGUAAAGGUCUUCAAUGUGGAGUAUCACUGUUAUCUAUGUAAAGGCCUUCAAUGUGGAGUAUCACUGUUAUCUAUGUAAAGGUCUUCAAUGUGGAGUAUCACUGUUAUCUAUGUAAAGGCCUUCAAUGUGGAGUAUCACUGUUAUCUAUGUAAAGGCCUUCAAUGUGGAGUAUCACUGUUAUCUAUGUAAAGGUCUUCAAUGUGGAGUAUCACUGUUAUCUAUGUAAAGGCCUUCAAUGUGGAGUAUCACUAUUAUCUAUGUAAAGGUCUUCAAUGUGGAGUAUCACUGUUAUCUAUGUAAAGGUCUUCAAUGUGGAGUAUCACUGUUAUCUAUGUAAAGGUCUUCAAUGUGGAGUAUCACUGUUAUCUAUGUAAAGGCCUUCAAUGUAGAGUAUCACUUAUCUAUGUAAAGGCCUUCAAUGUGGAGUAUCACUGUUAUCUAUGUAAAGGUCUUCAAUGUGGAGUAUCACUGUUAUCUAUGUAAAGGUCUUCAAUGUGGAGUAUCACUGUUAUCUAUGUAAAGGCCUUCAAUGUGGAGUAUCACUAUUAUCUAUGUAAAGGUCUUCAAUGUGGAGUAUCACUGUUAUCUAUGUAAAGGUCUUCAAUGUGGAGUAUCACUGUUAUCUAUGUAAAGGUCUUCAAUGUGGAGUAUCACUGUUAUCUAUGUAAAGGUCUUCAAUGUGGAGUAUCACUGUUAUCUAUGUAAAGGCCUUCAAUGUGGAGUAUCACUGUUAUCUAUGUAAAGGCCUUUAAUGUGGAGUAUCACUGUUAUCUAUGUAAAGGCCUUUAAUGUGGAGUAUCACUGUUAUCUAUGUAAAGGCCUUCAAUGUGGAGUAUCACUGUUAUCUAUGUAAAGGCCUUCAAUGUGGAGUAUCACUGUUAUCUAUGUAAAGGUCUUCAAUGUGGAGUAUCACUGUUAUCUAUGUAAAGGUCUUCAAUGUGGAGUAUCACUGUUAUCUAUGUAAAGGUCUUCAAUGUGGAGUAUCACUAUUAUCUAUGUAAAGGCCUUCAAUGUGGAGUAUCACUGUUAUCUAUGUAAAGGCCUUUAAUGUGGAGUAUCACUGUUAUCUAUGUAAAGGCCUUCAAUGUGGAGUAUCACUGUUAUCUAUGUAAAGGCCUUCAAUGUGGAGUAUCACUGUUAUCUAUGUAAAGGCCUUCAAUGUGGAGUAUCACUGUUAUCUAUGUAAAGGCCUUUAAUGUGGAGUAUCACUUAUCUAUGUAAAGGCCUUCAAUGUGGAGUAUCACUGUUAUCUAUGUAAAGGUCUUCAAUGUGGAGUAUCACUGUUAUCUAUGUAAAGGCCUUCAAUGUGGAGUACAGCCUAUGAUUGAAGGAAGGAAGGCCUCAAUUCAGUUCAGUAGUCAGGAAGCGAAUUGGAAUGCUGAUUCAAAGAUUUGAAAAGUGCCAUCUAGUAUUUUCAAUUAGGAUUUUUUUUAAAAUGUUUUAUUCUUGAAUCUGAAUUUAAAUGUCCUUUCUGUUACAAGCUGCCAUUGCCUGAAUAAGACUGUGUAUGAAUUUUCAGUGCAGCUCAUUGGAUAAUGCAUUUUCCCUCCUGCCUUAUUGUCUACUGUUGGUGUGACAGAUAAUGCAUUUACCCUCCUGCCUUAUUGUCUACUGUUGGUGUGACAGAUAAUGCAUUUUCCCUCCUGCCUUAUUGUCUACUGUUGGUGUGACUGAAGAGCUUUCCACGUCAGUCUCAGGUCUUGGCUGUUUGAGAACCACAAGCUUUUUGGUGACGGUCUGUUUGUUUUUAUCAACUGUAGAUUGAUAAUACCCUCUAAUAUCAACUGUAGAUUGAUAAUACCCUCUAAUAUCAACUGUAGAUUGAUAAUACCCUCUAAUAUCAACUGUAGAUUGAUAAUACCCUCUAAUAUCAACUGUAGAUUGAUAAUACCCUCUGAUAUCAACUGUAGAUUGAUAAUACCCUCUAAUAUCAACUGUAGAUUGAUAAUACCCUCUAAUAUCAACUGUAGAUUGAUAAUACCCUCUAAUAUCAACUGUAGAUUGAUAAUACCCUCUAAUAUCAACUGUAGAUUGAUAAUACCCUCUAAUAUCAACUGUAGAUUGGUAAUACCCUCUAAUAUCAACUGUAGAUUGAUAAUACCCUCUAAUAUCAACUGUAGAUUGAUAAUACCCUCUAAUAUCAACUGUAGAUUGGUAAUACCCUCUAAUAUCAACUGUAGAUUGGUAAUACCCUCUAAUAUCAACUGUAGAUUGGUAAUACCCUCUGAUAUCAACUGUAGAUUGGUAAUACCCUCUAAUAUCAACUGUAGAUUGGUAAUACCCUCUAAUAUCAACUGUAGAUUGGUAAUACCCUCUGAUAUCAACUGUAGAUUGGUAAUACCCUCUAAUAUCAACUGUAGAUUGGUAAUACCCUCUAAUAUCAACUGUAGAUUGGUAAUACCCUCUGAUAAUACCCUCUAAUAGUUACAUUUACAAGAGUUACAUUUAACAUCAACUGUAGAUUGGUAAUACCCUCUAAUAUCAACUGUAGAUUGAUAAUACCCUCUAAUAAAUAAAGUUGUUAACCUUUUUAAUAGUUGUUUUCAUUACUUAGAAGUGUUGUGUUUUGUCCAUGUAUUUAACGUCGUGAUGCGUGUUAAUGCAGUGGAGUGUCAGGUGUCUCAGGUGAGUCUUCAUUAACAUAUUCAAACCAUGACUUGUUUUUGGAGUGAGUGAGUCAAUCAGGCCUUUUGAAAGAGAACCUAGAGACCCAUUUUAAGAACAGAGAGAAACUAGUUUCACUCUGUGGCAUGUGCCUAGUCGUUUCACUUCCUCAUUAUAGCCUGAGGCCAGACAACAGACUCACUUAACUAGAAGUGGCUUCGUUGGGUUCAGACCUAUUAAAUGGGUCUGUCUGAGUGAGGAGUUUUUAUCUAAGGAAGGGAAGAUAAUCAUGCCUUUAAUCUUUGACAAAAAUGUCUAACCUUUUGUUUUUAUGCUUUUGAAAUGUACAGGGACAAUUUAACUCGUUAAAACAUCAAAUGUUUGAAGUUUUGGUUAGAUGUGAUGGUACAAUUUAUAAACUGUAAAUAAAAUGUAUCAUGUUUCUAAUCUGUGUACAAAUGUUUUCAUUGGGUUUACAGUGAAUUUAUAUUAAAGCCAAAUGUAUAUA